AUUGAACGCUGGCGGCAUGCUUUACACAUGCAAGUCGAACGGUAACAGGGUGCUUGCACCGCUGACGAGUGGCGAACGGGUGAGUAAUGCGUCGGAACGCACCGAGUAAUGGGGGAUAACGCAGCGAAAGCUGUGCUAAUACCGCAUACGCUCUGAGGAGGAAAGCGGGGGACCUUCGGGCCUCGCGUUAUUCGAGCGGCCGACGUCUGAUUAGCUAGUAGGUGAGGUAAGAGCUCACCUAGGCGACGAUCAGUAGCGGGUCUGAGAGGAUGAUCCGCCACACUGGGACUGAGACACGGCCCUGACUCCUACGGGAGGCAGCAGUGGGGAAUUUUGGACAAUGAGCGCAAGCCUGAUCCAGCCAUGCCGCGUGUCUGAAGAAGGCCUUCGGGUUGUAAAGGACUUUUGUCAGGGAGGAAAUCCUUAGCGCUAAUACCGUUGAGGGAUGACAGUACCUGAAGAAUAAGCACCGGCUAACUACGUGCCAGCAGCCGCGGUAA
This 500-nucleotide ribosomal RNA is filed under the name uncultured bacterium. RNAcentral describes it as "partial 16S ribosomal RNA". It matches the Rfam family "Bacterial small subunit ribosomal RNA", at positions 30 to 523 of the family's 1533-position model. The record is from RNAcentral.